CCUACGGGAGGCAGCAGUGAGGAAUAUUGGUCAAUGGACGAGAGUCUGAACCAGCCAAGUAGCGUGAAGGAUGACUGCCCUAUGGGUUGUAAACUUCUUUUAUAAAGGAAUAAAACGAGGCACGUGUGCCUUUUUGCAUGUACUUUAUGAAUAAGGAUCGGCUAACUCCGUGCCAGCAGCCGCGGUAAUACGGAGGAUCCGAGCGUUAUCCGGAUUUAUUGGGUUUAAAGGGUGCGUAGAUGGGUUGUUAAGUCAGUUGUGAAAGUUUGCGGCUCAACCGUAAAAUUGCAAUUGAUACUGGCAGUCUAGAGUACAGUUGAGGUAGGCGGAAUUCAUGGUGUAGCGGUGAAAUGCUUAGAUAUCACGAAGAACCCCGAUUGCGAAGGCAGCUUACUAAACUGUGACUGACGUUGAGGCUCGAAAGUGUGGGUAUCAAACAGGAUUAGAUACCCGAGUAGUC
RNAcentral lists this ribosomal RNA (460 nucleotides) under uncultured bacterium. RNAcentral's name for it is "partial 16S ribosomal RNA". It matches the Rfam family "Bacterial small subunit ribosomal RNA", at positions 338 to 795 of the family's 1533-position model. The record is from RNAcentral.